RNAcentral lists this ribosomal RNA (254 nucleotides) under uncultured bacterium. Its description in RNAcentral is "partial 16S ribosomal RNA". It matches the Rfam family "Bacterial small subunit ribosomal RNA", at positions 524 to 776 of the family's 1533-position model. The record is from RNAcentral.
GACGUAGGGCGCAAGCGUUGUCCGGAAUUAUUGGGCGUAAAGAGCUCGUAGGCGGUGUGUCGCGUCGGCCGUGAAAACCUGCAGCUUAACUGUGGGCUUGCGGUCGAUACGGGCAUCACUGGAGUUCGGCAGGGGAGACUGGAAUUCCUGGUGUAGCGGUGAAAUGCGCAGAUAUCAGGAGGAACACCAAUGGCGAAGGCAGCCAACUAUUCUGAUCCUGACAUUGAGGCAUGAAAGCGUGGGGAGCAAACCGG